Priapulus caudatus is the source of this 212-nucleotide long non-coding RNA. RefSeq lists it as uncharacterized. The record is from RefSeq and is a predicted model, not a curated record. The transcript is spliced from 3 exons. NCBI's taxonomy places the organism in Eukaryota, Metazoa, Priapulida, Priapulimorpha, Priapulimorphida, Priapulidae.
CCGCUUCGUCACCCUGCUCGAGCGACUGGUGGCGCACCCUUACUCGUUCCGCGAGCGAGAUUUCAUCAUGCGCUACCGAAAGGAGAUGGUGGCGAUAUCACAGACUACCGCCGUCCCCCCGCUGCAGCACACCUCUGAUGGCAAAGGUUAUGUGGACACAGAAGUGAAGAGGACGAGAGACGUGGCUAAGGUGCGCAUCAGCGAGGGACUGG